Non-coding RNA from Brachypodium distachyon (stiff brome), 125 nucleotides. The record is from Rfam. NCBI's taxonomy places the organism in Eukaryota, Viridiplantae, Streptophyta, Magnoliopsida, Poales, Poaceae.
GACCUACUCCCUCCGUCUCAUAUUAAGUGACUUUCUAUUACAUGUAUCUAGACGUGGUUUAGGAAUAGAUACAUCCAUAUUUGAUCAGAUUUGAGUCACUUAAUAUGGGACGGAGGGAGUAUAUC